Molecule: microRNA precursor, 206 nt
Organism: Oryza sativa Indica Group (long-grained rice)
Lineage: Eukaryota; Viridiplantae; Streptophyta; Magnoliopsida; Poales; Poaceae
Rfam family: MIR812 microRNA precursor family
Source: Rfam
AAAAAGGCAAAUCCUAGGUUUCCGUGUCCAACUUUGAUUGUCUGUCUUAUAUGAAAUUUUUUUAUAAUUCAUAUUUUUAUUGUUGUUAGAUGAUAAAACAUGAUUAAUAUUUUAUACGUGACUUGUCUUUUUAAUUUUUUUUCUUAAUUUUUUAAAAUAAGACGGACGGUCAAACGUUGGGCACGGAAACCAGGGUUUGUCUUUUU